AGCAGCCGCGGUAAUUCCAGCUCCAAUAGCGUAUAUUAAAGUUGUUGCAGUUAAAAAGCUCGUAGUUGAAUUUCGGGAUCAAUAUGUUGGUCGUACCUUGGUACGUACUGGCAUUAUUGGUUCCUACCUUCUGAAGAACCUCGAUGUCAUUAAUUUAGUGUCUUGGGGAAUCAGGACUGUUACUUUGAAAAAAUUAGAGUGUUUAAAGCAGGCUAACGCUUGAAUACAUUAGCAUGGAAUAAUGAAAUAGGACGUUCGAUCCUAUUUUGUUGGUUUCUAGGAUUGACGUAAUGAUUAAUAGGGAUAGUUGGGGGCAUUAGUAUUCAAUUGUCAGAGGUGAAAUUCUUGGAUUUAUUGAAGACUAACUACUGCGAAAGCAUUUGCCAAGGAUGUUUUCAUUAAUCAAGAACGAAAGUUAGGGGAAUCGAAGACGAUCAGAUACCGUCGUAGUCUUAACCAUAAACUAUGCCGACUAGGGAUCGGAUGAUGUAUUUUAAUGACUCAUUCGGCGCUUACGGGA
RNAcentral lists this ribosomal RNA (520 nucleotides) under uncultured Glomus. Its description in RNAcentral is "SSU rRNA". It matches the Rfam family "Eukaryotic small subunit ribosomal RNA", at positions 569 to 1095 of the family's 1831-position model. Lineage: Eukaryota; Fungi; Glomeromycota; Glomeromycetes; Glomerales; Glomeraceae. The record is from RNAcentral.